UUUUUUUUUUUUUUUUUUGUAUUGUUGUUUUGGUUUUUAGAUUUUUGAUAGUGCAACUUAUUUUAGGCAACAAAGCAGAAGAAAUAGUGUUUUCCACAGAAUUCUCAGCUUUUGGGAAUUCUCCCAGAUACUGCAUUUUGCAGGGGCUAAGUGUUCUGGGUGUCAUUGUUCCUUGAGCAAAGGAAUUGCAAUUUAUUGGUUAAGACAGUAGAAAAAGGUUUCUGUUUCAUUAUUUUAAACAUAAUUUCAGUCAGUCAGUCAAACUUGUUUUAAUAUAUUAUUACCUAUAGCUGACUGAUACUUAGCUGUUUAAACAUUGUGAAACACAGGACACAUGUGAAACACAUUCCUCAACCUCUGAGGGUGGUCUUGCUCUAGAAGUCUGGAGUAGGACUCUGAUGUCUGAUGAUGAUGGUAGGUCUAUCUGAGUGUAGGCUGCUGCUGAAAGAGGUGGUCUUGACCUCCCUUUUGCAGAGGUGCCUUCUUGUUCUUUCCUAUGCUAAGACUAGUGCUCAAGUGGCUAUACAGAAGGGUCAGAGGUGGGAACUGACCAGUUGUAAACUAAACAUUUUGUUCUUCUGGAUUUUAUCUCAACUGUAUCAGAUUCUUGAUCCAGCCAUUUUGCAGUUACUGAUUCCUGCACAGGGACUGAGGCAGUAACAUGCAGCUGGGGAAAGGUGGGACUGCUGCUUUUGAUGGUUGCUACAUUCAGAUUGCUUUAAGAUAAUUCUGAAAUCUGCCUUAAGACUGCUUUCAUCAGGUGAUGUCAAAUGUGAGGAACUGGAAUGUAAAUAGCAAAUAUUUGACAACAGUCAGAACUGAGUAUGUUCUUGGGGCAGAGGGAAUGUGACCUUUAUUCAUUCUCUGAUUUUUGUUACAGGGGAAGAUACUGCUCUAUGUACAUUAUGGUGCUAGGUUUGCUACAGUGGUGAUUGUGCAUUUAUUAUAUAAAAUCAAAUAAAUUUGGAAAAUACAGCAAUGCUUAUAUUAAAAACUGAUGUAGUUAAAUUCUCCUGUGUAGACCAUAUAAUAAAGCAUAGUAGGUUAAAUGUUUCACCUCUUAUUUCACUGCUCAGUAUUCAUUAGAACUUAGUGUCAUAACUCUGGAAGAUAGGGUAUCUGGGCUGCAUGAAGCAUGGGUGGGAAUCUUACAAAGUACUCUUAUUCUGUUUUAUCAUUAGUUUUGACUUUCUCAGAAGAAUACGAAAUGCCAUAUGUUGAACUGCUUGAGAAAUCAGUUUCGAUUGUGCUGUUUAUAGUGCAUGUAAAAUGGUAUGGAUCAAAGAUGGCAACAGAAGCGGACAGCUGUUAAUCGUACCAAGCAUUGUACUCAGAGAUCUGAAGUCUUUAUAAUGCCAGCCAGACUACACAGAAGUGUAUUACUCAGUGGAAUUUGUGCAUACUAUCUUCUGUUAUUUCAAAUCUGGUUUUGAUUCUGCUGGAACAAGCUGGUACAGUCUAGGACUAUCAUACAGGUAUGUUAAUGCUGUCAUUAGAUAAGGUUGUUCAAGAGACCUGAAAACGUACUGAUUGUGUUCAAAAAAAUUGUUAUUGACAAAACAAGUUCCUAAAUUACAAUCUAAGAGUGUUCAAGAAUAGUGUUUACUAUAGGUAAGAACAGUACGUGUCUUUAUAGGAUAUCAAGUGCAAAAAGAGUUUUAGAACAUCUCUUAAUUUACAUAUCAAGUAUGAGCUAUAGAAUCAUUUCAGUUGGAAAAAACCUUCAAGGUCAUCAAGUCCCAUCACUAAACAGCGUUCUGCAGCGCCAUGUUUAAACAUCUCUCACAUACCUCCAGGACUGGGGACUCCACUGCUUCCCUGAGCAGCCUGUUCCAAUGCUUGACCGCCCUCUCCAUGAAGUUCUCCCUAAUAGCCGAUCUAAACCUCCCUGGCAUAACUUGAGGCCAUUUCUUCAUGUCCUAUCACUAGUCACAUGAGAAGAGAGUCUGACACUCGCCUCACUGCAACCUCCUUCCAGGUAGUUGUAGAGAGCGAUGAUAUCUCCCCUCACCCUCUUCUUCUACAGCUCACUUAGCAGCUCCUCAUAACUAUUGUUUUCUAGUCCCUUCACCAACUUUAUUGUGCAUGCUCAGGCAAUUCCAUAUCCUUCCUUUAGCGAGGGGCCCAGAACUGAGCACAGUAUUCAAGGUGCAAUCUCACUGGUGCCAUGUGCAAGGGGACAAUCACUUCCCUUGACCUCCUGGCCAUACUAUUUCUGAUGCGAACCAGGAUGCCAUUGGCCUUCUUGGCCACCACUGCUGGCUGUUGACCAGCAUCCCCAGGUCCCUUUCUGCUGGGCAGCUUUCCAGCCACUCUUCCCCAAGCCUAUACCACCACAUGGGGUUGUUAUGACCCAAGUGCAGGACCUGGCAUUCAGCCUUUUUGAAUAUUGUGUGAUUGGAUGCGGCCAGUCCCGAUGCACAGCCUUCCUACCCUCAAGCAGUCCUGCCUAACGUGUUGUUGUCUGCAGACUUGCUGAGGGUGCACUCAUCCAGAUUAUCAAUAAAAAUGUUGAACAAAACUGGCCCCAAUACUGAGCCCUGGGGGAUGCCACUGGUGACCAGCCGCUGUCUGGGUUGAACUCCUUUCACUAUGACUCUGAGCCUGGCCAUCCAGGCAGUCCUUCAGCCAGCAAUAUGUAUACCUGUCCAAGCCGUGAGCAGCUGGUUUCUCACAGAAUACUGUGGGAUACUGUCAAAUACUUUACUGAAAUUCAGGUAAAUAACAUCCACAGCUUUUCCCUCGUGUACUAAGAAGGUCAUUUUGUCAUAGGAGAUCAGGUUAGUCAAGCAGUACCUGCCUUUCAUAAAUUCAUGCUGGCUGCAUCUGAUCACUGGGCACAGUUGUCCCAUAUGUGCCGUGUAAAGGCAUACAAGAUGGUCUGCACGACCUUCCCUGGUACCAAGGUCAGACUGACAGACCUGUUAUUCCCUAGGUCCUUCUUCCUUCAAUUCUUAUAGAUUGGAGUCCCAUUCACUAACCUCCUGUUAACUGGGCAUUACUAUAAAUUACUUUAUGUUACUUAAGCAAGGAAAAGAAAAGACUUUUUAAGGCCUUUUGAAGCUGCAGCAGCUAAAACUAAAAUUAUGCUUUUCACUCCUAAAAGUGAUGACAAUUUCAAUUUGUUUCUGAAAAAAA
Oxyura jamaicensis (ruddy duck) is the source of this 3138-nucleotide long non-coding RNA. RefSeq lists it as uncharacterized. Lineage: Eukaryota; Metazoa; Chordata; Aves; Anseriformes; Anatidae. The record is from RefSeq and is a predicted model, not a curated record. The transcript has 2 exons.